GACGAACGCUGGCGGCGUGCUUAACACAUGCAAGCCGAACGGUGAAGCGAGUGCUUGCACUCGUGGAUCAGUGGCGAACGGGUGAGUAACACGUGAGUAACCUGCCCAUCACUCUGGGAUAAGCACUGGAAACGGUGUCUAAUACUGGAUACGACCAACCCUUGCAUGGGGUGUUGGUGGAAAGAUUUAUCGGUGAUGGAUGGACUCGCGGCCUAUCAGCUUGUUGGCGGGGUAAUGGCCCACCAAGGCGACGACGGGUAGCCGGCCUGAGAGGGUGACCGGCCACACUGGGACUGAGACACGGCCCAGACUCCUACGGGAGGCAGCAGUGGGGAAUAUUGCACAAUGGGCGAAAGCCUGAUGCAGCGACGCCGCGUGAGGGAUGACGGCCUUCGGGUUGUAAACCUCUUUCAGCAGGGAAGAAGCGAAAGUGACGGUACCUGCAGAAGAAGCACCGGCUAACUACGUG
This 469-nucleotide ribosomal RNA is filed under the name uncultured bacterium. Its description in RNAcentral is "partial 16S ribosomal RNA". It matches the Rfam family "Bacterial small subunit ribosomal RNA", at positions 28 to 507 of the family's 1533-position model. The record is from RNAcentral.